UACGUAGGGUGCAAGCGUUAAUCGGAAUUACUGGGCGUAAAGCGUGCGCAGGCGGUUGUGCAAGACCGAUGUGAAAUCCCCGGGCUUAACCUGGGAAUGGCAUUGGUGACUGUACGGCUAGAGUGUGUCAGAGGGGGGUAGAAUUCCACGUGUAGCAGUGAAAUGCGUAGAGAUGUGGAGGAAUACCGAUGGCGAAGGCAGCCCCCUGGGUCAAGAUUGACGCUCAUGCACGAAAGCGUGGGGAGCAAACAGG
Molecule: ribosomal RNA, 253 nt
Filed under: uncultured bacterium
Lineage: Bacteria
Description: partial 16S ribosomal RNA
Rfam family: Bacterial small subunit ribosomal RNA
Source: RNAcentral